Solanum dulcamara is the source of this 600-nucleotide long non-coding RNA. RefSeq lists it as uncharacterized. The transcript has 3 exons. The record is from RefSeq and is a predicted model, not a curated record. NCBI's taxonomy places the organism in Eukaryota, Viridiplantae, Streptophyta, Magnoliopsida, Solanales, Solanaceae.
AACUUGAGAAUAUUAGAAAAGGUGAGGGGCAAAAUUGAAAUUUUACAUGGGAGUCAUCAUCCAAUUCUUAGAAGAUUCAAGAGAAUUGGAGAAGAUAGAAGUGAGAAAAAUUGAGGAAAACAAAGAAGAAGAAGAAAAUCGGCUAAAGAAAAAAAAAUAGGGAAAAAAUUAAAAUCUUGCUCCAAAAAAUAUUUUCUUCUAGUAUUCCUACUAAUUCAAGGAUCCUCUACAACAUGAUGAAGUUAUUUUGGAAGAUAGGAGCCUUGUUUGGUUGAUUGGGUGUCAUGGUUAACUGAAGAAGUUAGAAGGAAAAGAUUUUGGAGGAAACGAGAGUUGAAUUUGGACAAACGUGAAAAGCCGAUAAGGUACUGAAGUUCGAUUUGCUGAUCCAUCUGUUUAGGAUAUUUGCUGCGUCGUUGACAGUGCUUCUUUGUUCGGAGCUUGUAUUUUGGUACUGACUUUAUCUCUGUAUAUUUGGAUAUUUUAGUCAGGGGUACGACGGGGCCCUGUUCCGUCAUAUGACUAUGCUAUCAUCUGUAGAGGUCUGUAGACAGAUUUAUGUUGUGGGUUUUGUAUAUAUAGUUUGGGUUUUGUGUGUUU